This 460-nucleotide ribosomal RNA is filed under the name uncultured bacterium. Its description in RNAcentral is "partial 16S ribosomal RNA". It matches the Rfam family "Bacterial small subunit ribosomal RNA", at positions 338 to 795 of the family's 1533-position model. The record is from RNAcentral.
CCUACGGGAGUCAGCAGUGAGGAAUAUUGGUCAAUGGACGAGAGUCUGAACCAGCCAAGUAGCGUGAAGGAUGACUGCCCUAUGGGUUGUAAACUUCUUUUAUAUGGGAAUAAAACGUUCCACGUGUGGGAUUUUGUAUGUACCAUAUGAAUAAGGAUCGGCUAACUCCGUGCCAGCAGCCGCGGUAAUACGGAGGAUCCGAGCGUUAUCCGGAUUUAUUGGGUUUAAGGGGAGCGUAGGUGGAUUGUUAAGUCAGUUGUGAAAGUUUGCGGCUCAACCGUAAAAUUGCAGUUGAAACUGGCAGUCUUGAGUACAGUAGAGGUGGGCGGAAUUCGUGGUGUAGCGGUGAAAUGCUUAGAUAUCACGAAGAACUCCGAUUGCGAAGGCAGUUCACUGGACUGCAACUGACACUGAGGCUCGAAAGUGUGGGUAUCAAACAGGAUUAGAUACCCCAGUAGUC